CUACGGGUGGCACCAGUUAGGAAUAAUCUACAAUGCGCGCAAGCGUGAUAGUUUGAGCCAGAGUGUUUUUCUAUUUGAAAAGCUUUUGCCGAAUGUAAAAAGUUCGGCGAAUAAGGACUGGGUAAGACGAGUGCCAGCCGCCGCGGUAAUACUCGCGGUCCAAGUCGCAGCCAUUUUUAUUGGGUCUAAAACAUCCGUAGCUUGCUUGAUAAGUUUCCUGUGAAAUCCGGCUUCUUAAGAGUUGGGCGGGCAGGAAGUACUGUUAAGCUAGAGACUGGGAGACGUAAGAAGUACGUUUAAAGUAACGGUAAAAUGUGUUAAUCUUAAACGGACUAACAACAGCGAAGGCAUCUUACGAGAACAGUUCUGACAGUCAGGGAUGAAGGCUAGGGGCGCAAAACGGAUUAGAUACCCGAGUAGUC
Molecule: ribosomal RNA, 422 nt
Filed under: uncultured archaeon
Lineage: Archaea
Description: partial 16S ribosomal RNA
Rfam family: Archaeal small subunit ribosomal RNA
Source: RNAcentral